AAAUUGAAGAGUUUGAUCAUGGCUCAGAUUGAACGCUGGCGGCAGGCCUAACACAUGCAAGUCGAGCGGAAACGAGUUGUCUGAACCUUCGGGGGACGAUAACGGCGUCGAGCGGCGGACGGGUGAGUAAUGCCUAGGAAAUUGCCCUGAUGUGGGGGAUAACCAUUGGAAACGAUGGCUAAUACCGCAUGAUGCCUACGGGCCAAAGAGGGGGACCUUCUGGCCUCUCGCGUCAGGAUAUGCCUAGGUGGGAUUAGCUAGUUGGUGAGGUAAGGGCUCACCAAGGCGACGAUC
This 294-nucleotide ribosomal RNA is filed under the name Vibrio parahaemolyticus. Its description in RNAcentral is "partial 16S ribosomal RNA". It matches the Rfam family "Bacterial small subunit ribosomal RNA", at positions 1 to 281 of the family's 1533-position model. Lineage: Bacteria; Pseudomonadati; Pseudomonadota; Gammaproteobacteria; Vibrionales; Vibrionaceae. The record is from RNAcentral.